This 13187-nucleotide long non-coding RNA is filed under the name Salmo salar (Atlantic salmon). RNAcentral's name for it is "lncRNA (ENSSSAG00000108864.1)". Lineage: Eukaryota; Metazoa; Chordata; Actinopteri; Salmoniformes; Salmonidae. The record is from RNAcentral.
UGAACUGUAGCUUGUAAUGUAUAGCAUGCAAUUAUGCAAAGUACAAACUGCGGACAACAGGGACUGUUGUCAUCGGUGCACUGAGUUUGAAUGCAGUGGCGGCCACGGAUACAUCAUAGAGACACCAGGAUGGCAACUGAAGGGGCCACAGAGAAGAGAGCCAACUUGGUGGCAUCUAAAGUCAUGUGGAGUAACAGGGAUGACGUACCUAUGUCAGCACCAGAACGGUCACAUGGCAGUGACAGAGCUGGAAUCUGUAGACAGAACAACGUCCAACAGUGGCUUAGAAGUCAUGAGGCGGAUGCAAAACCAGACCACACCAGAGAAGCUGCAGCAGGGCUUCUUAAGAGGAACGCCAGCAGUGAGGAUGACUUAGCGUUGGGCGUCGAAGCGUCUUUAUAUGGUAAACAGGGAGUGAGGACCGUCCAGGAAUUUCUGAGGAGUUCCAGGUCCAGCCCAGUUCUCACCAGGUGGAACAGCUUGACCUCAGCCUUCUCAGCACAGUCAGCUCCACUCAGUGUAAUGGAUGUGCUGAAUCUGUGGAGUGACGACCCAGAGGAGGUCCUACUAGAUCUGGGCUUCGGCUGUGACGAGCCUGACAUCUCUGGACGGAUCCCUGCCCGCUUCAUCAACAACCAGUCCAGCGCCCGGGGAAUCAACAUCCAGGUGUUCCUGGACGCCCAGAAGAACCGCAUGGACAUAGAGAACCCUGAUGUCAGCAGUAAGGGAUGUUACACUGUAAACAUACUCCUCAGACAUUCUGUCAUGUGCUCUUAAUACACUGAAAACAUACUGUAGAUACCUUGACAUGCUGUCAUUCUCUUUAUACACUUUACAAAUACUGUACUGUAGUUAUGUCAUGUGCUGUCAUAUGAUGUUUAAGCUAGCCACAUACAUGUUCUAGCUCCAGGAACCUUGGCAACUACUGGCAUGAACAUGGUCAUGGGAUUCUUUUUGUGCUUUAUGUGUUGAAACUGUUGUGUAUCCAGUGUCCUCUCUGGUGAGAACACCGUGCAUUUAUUCCACCUGAUGGAGACAGUCCUAUAAGACUGAUAACAUGGUUAGCUGGUUUGCCAACUUUGCAUCUGUCAACCACAGAUAAAUGUUAACAAUCUCCUUCUCUCCUUCUCUCCUUCUCUCCUUCUCUCCUUCUCUCCUUCUCUCACUCACUCACUCACUCACUCACUCACUCACUCACUCACUCACUCACUCACUCACUCACUCACUCACUCACUCACUCACUCACUCACUCACUCACUCACUCACAGAUAGGUUCAGGCAGUUGGAGGUGCUGCAGCAGGUUACCACUGCAUUCUCAUCCCUGGUCGGUGGUGCGUCUACAGACUCCGUCUCCGAGAGCGGAGUUCCAGCUUUAGCUUCAGCCGGGGCCAGGGAGAAGAGGAAGAGAAUGGGCAUGCUGCUCCGCCGGGUCUCCAGAAAAACCCUCAGCCAAACCCAGUUUCAGACACAAAACCAGACCCAGGACUCCCAGGACACAAACCCCACUCCCCACAGUCCUGUAACCCACUUACCGCAGCCCCUGGCUGGCCUCCCUGACAGGCGGACCCCGCUGAAACGAGCCAGACAGGGCCUGGCUGAGAGUAUAUGUCUGACCCCGCUGGCAGAGGAGCAAGGCCUAGCCUCGGAAGCACCAGAGCCCCACUCGGUCCACCAGGAGGGUGCACUCUGGCUGGAGGUGGGGAAGGAGUAUCAACCCCUGAUCUCCAGUGGUAUUCCAACCAGAAAGAAAAGUCCUGGGGAGGCCAGGGAGUCCUUUGAGAUGGAGGAGAUCCAGAGCUUUGAUGAGGGCAGUAUUUCUGGGAGCUACAUGGGAGCAUCCGACACCACAGCAGUGUGUGUGAUGAGGACUAACAGCUGCCAGUCUGACAGCAGUGGCUUCCUGGAAGAGCCCUUCAUCCCUUCCAUUACCCAGCAUCCCUCACCUGGACCCGAGCUCAUGAAGGCUUUGUCGGGAAUAUUUGGAGGCAGCACUGACAGCCAGAUCACUGUAAAAGGAGCUUCACCCCCCUCGUCCCCCCCAUCCACUUCCCUGGACCCUUCCCCUCCUUCCCUCUCCAUGUGCCACCCAAGACCCGAGUCUCCUCUAUACAGACCAGAGACAACAAGCCCUACAGAGGAGACACCCAGACACCAGGAUUCCCCCACACCCCACUCCCUCUCUGAUGCCUUGGAGAUGACUAACUCUGCUUUUGGAGCCAGGCCAAGCCUAAUGGAAAACACUGUCACUGAGGAAGAUGGAUUCUCUUCGGCCUGCGGUUCACCUUGUCAUAAGCCAGACUCUCCGUUACGGCACGUUAUUAUUAUCAUGAAAACAGAUAGAGAAACAGAACACUUUACUGUGGAAUCAGAGGAAGCUGUUCCAAUAGGAGGAGAGGAAAAGGACAUAGCGGAACAAAGUGGCAAUGUUCAGACAGGAACAGAGGCUGUUGGUGAUCAGGACACCGAUUGUUAUGGGUCACAUGAAGGCUCUCGGAUGAACUCGGUAGCUCUGGUGCAGAUGAAGAAAGAGACAGAGAUGAAGACGAAAGUACAGAUUAGUUCUGGUUUGGAAGGUCCAGUGUUGGGUCCUGUUGCUGUUCCUGAGGUGGUGAAUCAAGGCUCUGAGACUGGAUCUGUUUGUCAGGACCGGUACUCUGAAGAUCCUCUAUUAGGAUCUGACCCUAACUUCUCAGCAGAGCCUCUCCCUGCCUCCUCUCUCCCCCCAGCAGAGCCUCUCCCUGCCUCCUCUCUCCCCCCAGCAGAGCCUCUCUCUGCCUCCCUCCCCCCAGUGCACUGGGAAACAGGUGGCUCAAAGAUUUCAGAGGGAUCCUCAAGCUUGGUUGUCCAAGAGCCUGUCCCACCACUAUAUCAACCAGCAGACCCAUCGACAGACCCACCUCCAGGCCCAGCUUUAACCUCACCUUCAGAGCAAGUGUCACCUCCAUCCCCACCACCAUCUCCAUCCCCAGCCUCGUGGCCACACCAACCUCCAGCCUCAGCUUUUCCGGCAGCAUCCAGCUCAUCUCCAACCCAAGCCCAUUCCCCAAUCCCAAACCAUUCUCUAUCAGCCCUAACCACAACACCAACCCCAUCCUCAAUUCCAAACUCGCCAUCAGCCCAUUCCUUAACCGUAGCUCCAUCUCAAGCCCCAACUCCACUCGUCCCCCACAGUGGUGCUUUCAGGUCAGGCCGGUCUGUGUCUGUCCAGAUGCCCUCCUCCCUGCCCUCUGUCUCCCACUCUGCCCUCCGGAGAGGUGGCGUCCCCCACACCCCCUCCCCGCUCGGCCCUUCCUUCGAGCCCCGCCCCCUGACUGACCUGACGCUCCGGCAGAGGCGGAACUCCUUCUCCAGGAAGGCGUGGUCAGAUGCUGAUGUCUCCCACUUUGCAGAACACAGAAACACUGCGGUUGCCAUGGGAAAGGCAGUCAUGACACCUGAGAUGAUAUCCCUCCUGUCCCCCGUCCCCUCCCUGUCAUCGUCCAAUCGGUGGCUGUCUCGCGACGGUUCACGAAGAUCCGGAAGUUUCCAGAUGAAGUCCACCUCCUUGGACACGGGGCUGUGGCAGGAGGAAGAGGGGGAUGAAGUGGGGGAUGAGGAUAGACGGUGGGAACGAGCCCUGUUCUCUGGGCUUUCCUGCUGCUGCUCCUGUGAUAACCGCUGUAGCUGCUGUUCUCAGAACAAUCACCUCAAACCAUCCUCCGUUUCAGCUUUCCCUUAUUCCCUGGAUGAGCUGGAGGGGAUGAUGCACUGUAUGAGGAAGUUCCGCUGCGUCCUGACAGACAUCGAGGAACAGCUGUCAGAAGACCAGGCCUCGGUGUACAGCUCACUCUCUGACACUGACAGAGAUGAAGUGCGAGACAUCUUGGAGCUGAGGAAAGCUGUGAAACAGGAAGCAGGAGAGUUGGAACUGCAGCUCACUGACCUGGUUCAUCGCUAUGACGACAGCUUCAAAAUGAAGAUGCACAGACUACUCGAUGAACAAUCUCACCUCUACACCCAGCUAAGGCUCCUCCCCCUGAUCCCCAAGACCACCCCUGGCUCCGCCUCCUCUAGGAGCAUGGCCACUCAGUGCUGCCUGCUGCCCUGGCUGCCUUUGACGGACAUGUCCAGGCCACACCCCUCACCGCAGGCCACCUGGGAUUUGGAGUCCAGAUCAGCUCUGCCAGAUUCCAGUUCUAUGGGCCAGAGACUAAACCAUGGUUCUACCGGCACCAAGCCAGACAAACUGGACAUUGUGGGUUUCAUCCAGAGACUGAAGGAGUCCAUACGCCACUCUGUCAAUACUGACUCACUGGAGUAAAAGAGAGAUGCUGCUUCUGCUGUAGCUAACUGAAAAUGAUCUGCUGUCUAAGUUAUAGUGUGUCCAAUCAACCUGGACUCGGGUAGAUGUAACAUAAUAAACGUAAAUCUGUCUCCCUCCAGUUAGUAUGAUAUGUUAGGUGUGGUAAGGUAUGUAUUUCUUUGUGGAUGUCCAUCAUCCAUUUCUUAUGUUAUAAAUAACAAUUCAUAUGAUAUGUUACGAAUUGCAAUUUGUACAAUAUGUUACGAAUUUGCGAUUAAGUAUGAUAUGUCACAAAUUCCAGUUUGAUGUGGCUAACCCUAACAUUAAAGUAGCUAACGUUAACUAGGCUAAGGGUUAGCUAACAUGCUAAGUAGGUGCAAAAAGUAGUACGUUUCAAAAUAGCUAAUUAGCCUAAAUGCUCAAGUUGUCCGUGAUGAGAUCGGAAGACGCAACCUUAGAGGUGCUAGAAGUUUGCAUUAUAUGCCCACCUAUCCACCCCGACCCACCACCCUCCUUUUGUUUUUGCCUUAUGUAACCUUACCAAACAUACCAUAUCAUAUUCAUUUGAGUGUCCUGGAUUUACGUUGACUAUGUCUAGUCUAUGAAACCAGGCUGGUGUAAUCAAUGGAUUCUAUUACUACUAAAGUAGUCCAGUGUCCACAUAAUGAAUAAAGAGCACGAAUGCAUGAAAUCAUGUGUGCUUGUUCUAUAACGUGCCGAUCCAAUGCAUAACAUACUGUCCAAAGAGUUUAUUUGUGUGUAUUGUCAUUCCCUACGUAUCAACAACAGCAUUCGUCUCAACUAAGGAUGUGUUCUUAUUGUAACAUGAAGUCUCCUACUGUUACCUACCUGCAUCAAUGCUCUGGGUAAGACAGUUCCCCAUCCACAUGAGAUCCAUGCAGUAUGUGUAUGCUAUAGAGAGGAGCUCCUAUGUGUCACCCUCCUGUUCUGGGUUAUGUCCUUAUUAGCACAAGAGGUGGUCUUGCUCACGUCUCCUGCCUCUUCAGACCCCAAUUAGCAGCUGGGUAGUAACAUUCCAGCCUGUGAGCCUGAUGCAUUUCAUGACUCCCUCUACUGGUGCUCCCAACUAAAAUGUAAGAGCACCACAUGCCAUUUAGGAACACCAGAAAAUAAGAUUUAAAAAAAAUGUUUUAUUGCAAUACAGCCUACGGUAUAUAGAGCCCCACAGUGGAAGUGUCAUAAUACCCAUAAACCUAACGGUCAAACAGGGAGUCACCUUGUCCUUGACAGAUUUAGAUUGUUAUCAAAACGCCACGCCAGGGUAAGCCUACACAACACAGCUCUUAUUUUAAGUGUUUGUAAAAUCCCCUAUGGGAAAAAUGAAUGAAUGGUGGAAAAACAAUUGCAACCAUUUCCUUGUUUGACUGCUAGGUUUUAUGGGUAUUAUGACUCAUACUGUGGUACUCUAUUGGGCCUAAAUGAAUUCUAGUUACUUUAGAAGCAAAUGUUGUGCCCUAGAAAGUAAUAUGUUUAUUAUAAAAUGUUCAAGUCAUUUGUGGAAUAUUAAGUUUCUACGUUGUGUAAAAGCACUAUUUUCCUACUGAGAUGCAUUACAUAGAUAAUUGCACACUUUCCCUUCAAAAAGGUCAGGUUUGUGAUGGCAAAGUUCAAGAGAUCUGUCGUUCAACAUUGUGCUUUCAAGACAACCGGGGAAAAAAACUCAGUCUAAUCAUGACGUCAGUAAUCUUCAAGUCGGAGCUCUGGAAAGUAAGUAUGGUAGCUGCAGCCCAAUAGAACCCCACAGUGGAGUUGUCAUAAUACACAUAAAACAUAGUGGUCAAACAGGUAAAUGGUUUCAAUCAUUUUUCCACCAUUCAUUUUUCCCAUAGGGAAUUUUAGAAACACUUUUGUGUAUGCUUACCAUAGCAUGACAUUUGAUAACCAUGUAAAUCUCUCCCAGACAAAGUGACUAAUCAAUAUAUUCGGCCCUAUUUACUCUCAGAUUUGAAAAUACUAAUUAGCAUCAAAGUAGACAUCAUGCAAGACUACAAAUCCCUGCAAGCUCCUGCAUGUCAUCUCUCUGACACAUUUGCUAACAGAUAGUGUCAAUUCAAAACUUGCACAAGACAGUUCACAAAAUUUAAUUUAAAGACGUAUAGCCAAUUUAUUAAUUACUACAUUUAGCUAACAUUAGAUAGUUAAUCCAGAGAUUCUUACCUUUGCCUCGAUUUGGCAGUCUUGUGUUAUGCUGACUGCAGAAAUGUCCACCGGAGCUGUUGCCAGAGAAUUUAAUGUUAAUUUCUCUACCAUAAGCCGCCUCUCCAAUGUCAUUUUAGAGAAUUUGGCAGUAUGUCCAACGGGCCUCACAACCACAGUCCACAUGUACCCACGCCAGCCCAGGACUUCCACAUCUGGCUUCUUCAACUGCGGGAUCGUCUGAGACCAGCCACCCAGACAACUGAUGAAAUGAAUACUGCCUCAGCAAUGAUGGAAGCAGCAGAGGAUUACACCAUCUUCCAGAUGGUCGAGGAACUGAUUAAUCUACUCCAUCAAUACCACGACCAGCUGGCUCUACAAUGUACGAUCAUGGAGGUCCUCCGCGUUCGCCACUGCCAGUGAGGUUCUCCAUACUUCUGACGGAAGGCCUCCUACCAUGGGUUGUCACAGUGAGCCAGUCCCCUAGCCUACCCAGCCUUCCAUCAAAGUCAGUGAUGCCUGACUUUCCCUUCCGGAGAAGUAUGACGGUACUCCAUUGAAAUGCUGUGACUUCCUCCUCCAGUGCUCCCUCUAUUUCGCCUAUCAGACGGGAGCUCCCACCCACCACCGAGAGGUCCAAGGUUGCCACUGUAAUUUCCCUGCUGACCGGACGGGCGUUGGAGUGGGCUACGGCCGUCUGGGAGAGGAUGAGUUGGAUGCCAAUGAGAGGUUCAUGGCUCUGUUCAGGGAGGUCUUUGACUAUCCUCCAGAUGGCAGAGAGGGAGGUGGGCAACUUUUUCAACUGCAGCAGGGUGCCCAGACCGCUGCGGAGUAUGCCCUUACCUUUCGGACUGUGGCAGCCUCCUGCGGAUGAAAUGAGCCAGAGCGCCGCACUCUAUUCCGCAGUGGACUGCGCAAGGAGGUCCAGAUGGAGUUGGCAUGUCGAUAUGACAACCUAGCCUUGGACGCUCUCAUCUCGAUGGCCAUCCCUCCUUUGGCUGUCCUGAAGCAGAGGCCAUGCACCUCUCUGCGGUAGAGCGGCGUUGCCAGAGACAGCUGGGGCUCCGUUCCUAUUGCGGCCAGGAGGGGCUUCAGCGGUGCCGGUGCGUCCUAACCCGGGGUCCACUAGAGCAGAGGGGUAGCCCAGUGACCUUCCUUCUCCCAGGCUAGGAGUGAGUAUUCCAUCAUCACUUUCCGCCAAACCCUUUCUGGUGUCAAUUUCGCUGGCUAUGCCUUAUCUGUUGUCUCUAUAGCUCUAGUGGACUCCGGUGCUGCUGGGAACUUCAUCAACCCGGCCCUCUCCACCUCGCUGAACCUAACUUCGUACCUGCUCUGGUCUCCUUUUCCUGUCCAAGCUCUGGAUAUGCAAUGUGGUAAACCGUGGGGUGUUGGGUUAAGUGCACAGAGAUUAAUACAGAAACAGGGAGGCUCUAGUCAGAAACCACGACUUUACUAGACAACAAAAUAAACGUAGCAUCAAAAUAAUGUAGGUUUGGCUCAGCCCUUCUCAGAUUCUGCUCCGUGUCUGUCUCUCCUCACGGUGUGCCACGGUGCUCCUGCACGGCUGGUUGGCACUCUCCCCUAAUUACCUCUACUUGGAGCCAUCAGCGUCGGGGUGCCCAGCCUGUGUACUCCCAGCAGAGGGAGCCAACGUUGCAGCACGUACCUCCCCUUUAUCACCAACCCCCGGGGCAGACCUCCCGGGGUACCACAGCGACCAUUGGGAUCCGGCACAAUUAUUCACAUCACAGCACCCCUCACCGUGGGACCCAAGCACCAGGACACCCUUCCCUACUUUAUCAAUGCCGCACUCAUACACAAAGUCAUCCUCGGCCUCCCAUGGCUCAAACUCCAUAAUCCCACCAUCUCCUGGUCAAAGGUGAGAAUCAUCGCCUGGGGACCAGGAUGCCGGAGGAACUGCUUUCCCACACCCUGUAGUUCAACAUCGGUGGAGGGUCCUGUGAGUGCCCUCCAGCCCAUCAAGCGAUCCUCACAUAUCAUUGGCCCCGUGUUUAGGGAUGUUGACAUCCGCCAGACUCUGGCGAGGUAACCCGCUCCUGCCCUCUAGAGUGCAUCUACAUCUCCACGGGGCGAGCGAUCGGCUGUUGACCUGGGCGCACACAUCCCUUGCUGUUGACCUGGGCACACGCAGGUAUCACCUGCACCAUCUAAUCCCUCUCCGAUAAAUACUGGUAGCCCACCUUGGUGCAGGACGUUGUCCACUAUGUCAACUCAUGUUCGGUAUGUACUCAAUCCAAAUCUCACCGACUUGCUCCAGCAGGUAAACUACUCCACCUUCCCCUCCAUCAGUGGCCUUGGUCACAUCUGUCCAUAGACUUUGUAACAUAUCUCCCCCUUUCUGAUGGUUUUACGACUAUUCGGAUUGUUGACAGAUUCUCAAAAUCUUGCCGUUUUAUCCCUCUCUGGUCUACCUCCCACUCUCCAGGUCGCUGAGGCACUAUUCUAGCACAAUUCUUCUGGUACUAUGGCCUUCCGGAGGACAUUGUUUCCGACCGUGGUCCCCAAUUCACGUUGCGGGUCUGGAAAGCCUUUAUGGAGAAGCUGGGGGCCACGGUCAGCCUCGCAUUCGGGUACCGGCCUCAGUCUAACGGGCAGAUGGAGAAGAACAACCAGAAGCUGUGGAGGUUCCUAAGGAGUCACUGCCAGGACCGGCAGGCUGAGUGGGAACCCACUUUGUCACUCGUCCACUGGGCUGACUCCCUUACAGUGCAUCCUGGGAUAUCAGCUGGCCCUGGCUCUGUGGACUCCGAGCCAGACCGAGGCCCCUGCAGUUGACGAGUGGUACCAGUGGUGGUAUGGAACGCCACCCACCUGAGGCUCCAGCAUGCCUUCUGCCGUCAGAACGAUCAGGCAGACUGCCACCCCUCCCCCUCCUGGACUUCUGACGUCAUGGGGGUUGGCUCCCGUAUCUGGUGGACUGGGAGAGGUACGGUCCAGAGGAGUGGUGUUGGGUUCCAGUGGAUGACUUUCUAGAUCCCAACAUCAUCCGAGAUAUCUCCCUUCGUUGUCCGGACUGACCCGCUCCUCGCCCUUGUGGCCUUCUCCCUGGCCCGUGUAGUCCUGCGGCUGGAGCUGCACAUUGGUGGGAAAGGGGGUGGGGGAGAAGUCACGUCUAAUCCCACUCUGGCGCUCGCCGUCGCCGGUUUACUAACCACCGGUACUGGCAACCCAUCAAGACGCACACCUGGCAACCCUCAUUACACACACCUGCGCCUCAUGAAGCACACGUGGACUUCAUCACUACACUUAAUUACUUCUCAUUUACCUAGCACUCCCUAGCAUCAGGCAGUAUUGGUUAUGUUGUCAUGUCCAGAUGCUUCUCUUGUUUUGUAACUCUCCAUGUUCGUUAUUAUUAAACUCACCAUAUGCACCUGCUUCCUGGGUCUAUGGUACACACGUGUUCCCGGAAGUCUCGCGAUGUUGCGCCUCAGGGUUUAAAAACUCUAUAAUAGGGUUUAGAGAGAAACACAGAAAAUAAGGUUCUGAGGUUAACACCAAUCUUAGGAGAUGUUUUGUUUCAUGAGAGAAUAUCAGUCAGUUAACCUGACCUUUAUGAAUUAUGAAGCCUUUAUGUGCUUUUUUUAUUAUUACAUAAAUGGUUCAAUAUUCAAAAAGUGGCGUUAGCUGAUGACGAUUAUCUGAUUGAACAAACCGUAUAAAAUCUCCUAAGCCCGUGUUUACCACAGACUGUAUUUUCGGCAUUUAUCCAAAAACGCCAUUCAUUUCUACAUAGGCUUUGUUCAACGAACCAUGGUGGAGUUAAUGCCUACAAAAAGACGCAAUUACUAUGUCUCUCUAUAGGACGAUUUAAAAAAAAAAAAAAAAAAAAAAAUAUUGUUGGGCUAGACGUAAUCUAAUUUUACUGUAGUAAUGGUGCAAGAAUGACUUUAACAAAUCUGUGUUUUUCUAGGGAACUCAGAAACAAUCGUACAGCAAAGCCUUAUCAUUACUAUUAUCUGGGGGAUUUUUCUUCAUAGUCGCACAGUGCUUGAUACUAGAGAAGAAAAUGCCAUGUGACAAAAACACAUCAACAACUCAGUCUCCCAUCAGACUUCAAAGGGCCCCGCCUGAUUGAAACAUGAGUGGUUUGUGAUAAGCAGACAACACAGGUUAUGUAAUUAAUUUAUUAGAAAUAGAAUAGGCUUCUAUGCUCUCAGCAACUUGGUAAUGUAGUCAAUGGUAUCCCCUAUAGAAGGAUUAUGUUGGGUCAUGUUGCACUACCUACCAUUUGUGUUUCAUAACUGGGCAACUAUGUCAGAUAAAUGUCCAUAACUUUUUUAGAUUUAGUUACAAAUAAGCAGAAGUUCAAUCAACCAAUGAUAUUUUACAGAGAAAUAAUUAAGACUUUCAGCAUGCUUAUAGGGAAGGGCACUCAACAUGCUCGGCACUGACACAAAUUACUGGUGAUUGGCUGAAAGACAUUGAUUAUUAGAAGAUUGUAGGAGCUGUUUCGUUAGAUUUCAUUACAGUUAUUGAUAUCAUUGAUCAUAACCCAUUACUGAAAAAACAUAGGUGUUAUGGAUUUACAUGUUCUUUAUCAUGGAUUGAGAGUUCCCUAUCUAAUUGAACACAGAGUAUUUUUUUUUAAUGGAAGCCUCUCUAAAGCAAAUUCAGUUGAGUGUGGUGUACCACAGGGCAGCUGACUUGAGCCAUUAUAGUUUUAUGUGUUUACUAAUGAACUUCCACUGACCUUAAGUAAAGCUUGUGAGUCUAUGUGCGCUGACUCAACUGUAUACAUGUCAGCUACAACAGUAAUAUAAAUAAUUGACACCUUUAACAUAGAGAUCCAGACAGUUUUAGAAUGGGUAACUAGCAGUAGGCUGGUGUUAAACUAAAAGCAUUGUUUUUGGGACAAAUCACUCACACAACCCUAAACCUCAUGUGCACACAUUUGUUUACAUCCCUGUUAGUGAGCAUUUCUCCUUUGCCAAGAUAACCCAUCCACUUGCUGGAUGUGUAUAAAUUGCAUAUAUAUAUUUUUUUUUUUUGUGAAUAUUUGUAUUGUAUUUAUCAUUGUAUUAUGUAGUGUUAUGUAUUUUCUUUGUUGUGUUUUGGCAGCAGCUAAUUGGGGAUCCAAAUAAAAUACUAAAUACAAACAUUAAAGCACUGUUGCAGAUAUUUAGUUGAAACCUGGGUGAAAUUGAGAACUAUUAUGUACAUUUAAUCAAAAAGCCACGAAGGUAUUGUAAAAUAAAGUUGACUAAAACAAUCAAAUUGAAUAGUUUAGCGCUGUGAAAUUAGACACUGGAUAUUAGUCAUAUCACAUGUAAUAUUGUGCCCAGGGGAAAUAUCACUGUGAUCUCAUAUUGAAAGAAAAUAUCAUGGGAUGACAGAGCAGAUAGAGCGGAUAUCAAUUACCAAAAGCAGGGGAUGGUUGAACGGGUAGCGUAAGCUUACUCCAUGACAUCUAGGAUUUUCCUUUAACCUAUCUGCUCUCCAUUGGGGUGGCAGGUAGCCUAGUAGUUAAAGCCUUGGGCCAGUAACCGAAAGGUUGGUGGAUCGAAUUCCUGAGCUGACGAGGUAAAAAUGUGUCUUUCUGCCCCUGAACAAGGCAGUUAACUGUUCCUAGGCUGUCAUUGUAAAUAAGAAUUUGUUCUUAAAAUUGACUUGCCUGGUUAAAUAAAAAAUCUGCUCUUCAUUUAACCUAUCUGCCCUUCCACCUAUCCAUGUCAUCCUUUUUUAUUCUCCUAAUUUUCGCUUUCCUCUUAUUUUGUCUCAUUCUUUCCACUGCCACUGUCCUGUCUCCUAUUCCUCUCUCCGUUUCUUCUUCUCUCUGUCUACUUCCCCUCUCUUCCGUCCACCUUCUUCCUCCUCCCUUGCUCUCCUACAUAGAGCCCCCCCCCCACGGGCACUGCUGCUGUCACUGAACCUGUUGAAGUUCGCUAAUUAAGAUCCCAUUCAAAUUCAUCAUACCAUUUGGACAGCGGUCCAGCAGACACAGGAUAAGAGGACUCCUGUCACCGUGACAACGGGCGCUAAUGGAGACGGUGGACUGGGCGGAUGGAUGGUGAUGAUGCUCCUCCUCCGAGCUACUUAACACCAUGGCUUUGAUCUGGCCUGGCACUCACUCCUUCUGUCCUGUCUGCUCACUGCACAGCUGAGACUGGGAGAAAGAGGAUAAACGAGAGAGAGAGAGAGAGAGAGAGAGAGAAGAGGAGGAGAAGAUGUCUACAGGCUGUGGCUGUGUGAGGUCGCCCCCGGAGACAGCGGAACACAGACUGACGGGUGGACAGGAGCACCACUAUCAGCUGGUGGAGCCUGUGAGGACCCUGCUAGAGGAGGGGACAGGGAUGACCAGAGCUGUGCAGGGGAAACACUGUCCUGAGGCAGUGCAUCCCGAGGAGCAGCCAGAUGAGCAGGAAGUGAAGAAACCACGCAGGAAAGACACGCCCGUCCUCAACACUCCUCCACUCAUACGAGGUGUGAGGAUGGGGAAAGGAGAGAAGAGAAUGAUUCACAUGGAGGAUGAAGAGAAGGAUGGAAAGAACUAGAAGUCAUUGGAGGAGAGUUUCUUGCCUACAUUUUUUGUUGUUGACAUUGUUGUUUUCAGUUGUCAUAUUACUAAUAUGUAGCCUAUACCUGUUUAUUAAAAGUAGUUCUACACUGUGUGGCAGUUAUCUUUCAUUUACAAACAAGGUAUAAAGAUGUUGAUGUCAAUGCAUGCAUUCAAUGUAAUAUACUGUAUCUUGCCAAAGGUUGCACUGUGGCCAUUACAAUGUAGAAAAAA